This is a long non-coding RNA of Populus euphratica (Euphrates poplar), 273 nucleotides long. RefSeq lists it as uncharacterized. NCBI's taxonomy places the organism in Eukaryota, Viridiplantae, Streptophyta, Magnoliopsida, Malpighiales, Salicaceae. The record is from RefSeq and is a predicted model, not a curated record. The transcript has 2 exons.
UAUAAUUAAAUCCUCUUUGCUAAUUGCUGCAGGGCUUCUGCAAAAUCCCUCAACCUUGUUCUUUUCUUUCCCUGUGGCUUUGCCAAGAGUUCCUUCUUUCGUCAUCAACAUCCUUUGGUUGUAACAGUUGUUUAUUUUGGCGAUAAUUUAAUUUCGAUGCAAAUAUUUCAUUACGUAUGAAUUUCUCUCUUUAUAAAGCACACCAAGCAUCUAGGACUUUUCUUUCAACAACUUUCUUCUCGUUAAAGAAUUACCCAUCAAUAAAAUUAUUUU